This 656-nucleotide ribosomal RNA is filed under the name uncultured bacterium. RNAcentral's name for it is "bacterial SSU rRNA". It matches the Rfam family "Bacterial small subunit ribosomal RNA", at positions 83 to 754 of the family's 1533-position model. The record is from RNAcentral.
GGGUGUGAAUUAGCGGCGAACGGGUGAGGAACACGUGAGAAAUCUGCCUUCAACACUGGGAUAACUCCGGGAAACCGGGGCUAAUACCGGAUAUGAAAUCUGCGGGCAUCCGCGGAUUUGGAAAGUUUUUCGGUUGAAGAUGAUCUCGCGGCCUAUCAGCUUGUUGGUGAGGUAAUGGCUCACCAAGGCGACGACGGGUAGCCGGCCUGAGAGGGCGACCGGCCACACUGGGACUGAGACACGGCCCAGACUCCUACGGGAGGCAGCAGUGGGGAAUAUUGGGCAAUGGAGGAAACUCUGACCCAGCGACGCCGCGUGCGGGAUGAAGGCCUUCGGGUUGUAAACCGCUUUCAGCAGGGAAGAAGCGAAAGUGACGGUACCUGCAGAAGAAGCACCGGCUAACUAUGUGCCAGCAGCCGCGGUAAUACAUAGGGUGCAAGCGUUGUCCGGAAUUAUUGGGCGUAAAGAGCUCGUAGGUGGUUCGUCACGUCGGAUGUGAAAAUCUGGGGCUUAACCCCAGACCUGCAUUCGAUACGGGCGAGCUUGAGUAUGGUAGGGGAGUCUGGAAUUCCUGGUGUAGCGGUGGAAUGCGCAGAUAUCAGGAGGAACACCAAUGGCGAAGGCAGGACUCUGGGCCAUUACUGACACUGAGGAGC